Molecule: ribosomal RNA, 254 nt
Filed under: uncultured prokaryote
Description: partial 16S ribosomal RNA
Rfam family: Bacterial small subunit ribosomal RNA
Source: RNAcentral
UACGGAGGAUCCAAGCGUUAUCCGGAAUUACUGGGCGUAAAGAGUUGCGUAGGUGGCAUAGUAAGUCGGCAGUGAAAGCGUGGGGCUCAACCCCAUAACCAUUGUUGAAACUACUAAGCUAGAGGACAAGAGAGGUCACUGGAAUUCCUUGUGUAGGAGUGAAAUCCGUAGAUAUAAGGAGGAACACCGAUGGCGUAGGCAGGUGACUGGCUUGUUCCUGACACUAAGGCACGAAAGCGUGGGUAGCAAACGGG